This 315-nucleotide ribosomal RNA is filed under the name uncultured eukaryote. RNAcentral describes it as "partial 18S ribosomal RNA". It matches the Rfam family "Eukaryotic small subunit ribosomal RNA", at positions 1470 to 1796 of the family's 1831-position model. The record is from RNAcentral.
CCCUUAGACGUUCUGGGCCGCACGCGCGCUACACUGACCAGUGCAACAAGCAUCCGUCCUUGGCCGACAGGCUCGGGCAAUCUUUGAACGCUGGUCGUGAUGGGGAUAGACUUUUGCAAUUUUUGGUCUUCAACGAGGAAUUCCUAGUAAACGCAAGUCAUCAACUUGCAUUGAUUACGUCCCUGCCCUUUGUACACACCGCCCGUCGCACCUACCGAUUGAAUGGUCCGGUGAAGCCUCCGGAUUGGCGCGCACCUCGGUGCCGCCGAGAAGUUGGUUAAACCUUACCAUUUAGAGGAAGGUGAAGUCGUAACA